Long non-coding RNA from Manis pentadactyla (Chinese pangolin), 632 nucleotides. RefSeq lists it as uncharacterized. The transcript is spliced from 3 exons. The record is from RefSeq and is a predicted model, not a curated record. NCBI's taxonomy places the organism in Eukaryota, Metazoa, Chordata, Mammalia, Pholidota, Manidae.
GGGCAUCCAAAGAACAGAAUGAGCUGGCCGGGCCCUGAGCCACCCCAGACUCCUCCCACUUCCCUGCCACUAACCAGUUCCAGCUGUGCACAGUCCCUGCCAUCACUUCCAUUCUGGCUUCUAGGAACCCAUGACUAAUUGAAGGAGUGUGUGUAUGUGUGUGGGAGUCUUCUUAAAAAUAGGGGUUUCCAGGGUAACUGCUUGGAAAACUCAAUCCCAUUAAUCCAGAGAAAGUUCCCUCUCCUAACUCCCUCAGGGCUCUUAGGGGAAAACAGGCCAGAGACUAACACAUUUCUCUAUAUCAGCAACAAUGUUGGGGUGGGCCCUAACUUGUUUACAAUUAAAGUUUGUCUCACUUUCAGUUUCCCGUUUCAGGCCCCAGACUUAACCUCUAUAUACCAGGAUGUCCAGUCUUCCAGCCCAGCCAUGGUCUCUGGAGAUGACGCUGGACAGCAGAGCUGGAGCUGAACUUGGAACCACAGAUAGUUUCAAGCUCCCAGAAAUCUCAGGGCAGAAGCACAGAUGGCCUCUGGAGCUCCUGCCUGGUGGGACCAUGAGCUGGCAGCUGCUGUGGCUUGGCUUCCUCCUCCCCAUGGUGGUCUCAGCCCGGGCUCUAGGGCCUGCAGAGAAGG